RNAcentral lists this ribosomal RNA (529 nucleotides) under uncultured bacterium. Its description in RNAcentral is "partial 16S ribosomal RNA". It matches the Rfam family "Bacterial small subunit ribosomal RNA", at positions 355 to 874 of the family's 1533-position model. The record is from RNAcentral.
UGGGGAAUUUUGGACAAUGGGCGAAAGCCUGAUCCAGCAAUGCCGCGUGUGUGAAGAAGGCCUUCGGGUUGUAAAGCACUUUUGUCCGGAAAGAAAUCCUUGGCUCUAAUACAGUCGGGGGAUGACGGUACCGGAAGAAUAAGCACCGGCUAACUACGUGCCAGCAGCCGCGGUAAUACGUAGGGUGCAAGCGUUAAUCGGAAUUACUGGGCGUAAAGCGUGCGCAGGCGGUUUGCUAAGACCGAUGUGAAAUCCCCGGGCUCAACCUGGGAACUGCAUUGGUGACUGGCAGGCUAGAGUAUGGCAGAGGGGGGUAGAAUUCCACGUGUAGCAGUGAAAUGCGUAGAGAUGUGGAGGAAUACCGAUGGCGAAGGCAGCCCCCUGGGCCAAAUACUGACGCUCAUGCACGAAAGCGUGGGGGAGCAAAACAGGAUUAGAUACCCUGGUAGUCCACGCCCUAAACGAUGUCAACUAGUUGUUGGGGAUUCAUUUCCUUAGUAACGUAGCUAACGCGUGAAGUUGACCGCCU